CUAAAGUCCUGCAUUAAACACCAUCUAGCGAAGAAGGAAUCAAAGACGAAAUGCUGCCAUCUAGCAAUAAAAAAGGAAAGGCUUACACGGAACUGACGGAACCAAAGUAAAAGUAAACACCAACAUGGCGGCGACCGGCGAGGUGUGAACCGUGAAGUGUUGGCUGUCGUUCAAUCGUUCUAUUAACUACCUGUCACUUAUUUUCCUUGCACUGAAUAACUCUCAAGUCUCAAGUUAUUUUAUAGUCUUUCAGUAACUAAGCUUAGAAAAGCGCAAGUGGAACAUGUGAUUAGCACUUAGCAGCAAGAGUUGGAAUGAAGAACAGUUCAGCAGGCCUACAAUUGGACAACUCUGACAGUGAGGAACUUUUGGGAGUUGCUGUUGAUUUCUAUCUCCGAAGUCAGAAUUUCUCAGAAAAUUAUAAAUUACUUGAUACAUCAGUCUUCAAUGAAAUUGGAUAGAAAGGAGGAGAAUAUUCCAGCCGCUGUGGUUGCUGAUCCGUUCAGAAUCCAUUCGAGUGAUUGAAAUCGGACUUGGGACUAACGACGCCUUGUGGACAGCUGGCCAUUCGUAUUGAAGUGGAGACAAUGAUGAUCCGGACGUCGAGCAGUUAAUUGGUUCCACGGGUGGAACAGCCGGAGGAUCCGAAUAAAAUCCAGGAGUUGGAAGGACUUGAGUUGAGACAGACUAACUUGUCGACUUUGACGAGAAACGCAAGGCGUUGAUCGACGAUGUUGGCGAUUUGUUUCAAGACUUGAUGUUGAGACUCGUGAAGAUCCAAGUUGGCGGGCUCGUCGACGGCAAUUCUGAAACCACCACUGAUGCAAUCAAAAAGAGAAAUUAAUUUUGAACAGGUAACUUGAUUAAAAAAAAAAUAAUCAAAAUGCCACACCAUAAUCGAUUUCUCAGAAACUCCAAUCAGCUGGGCCAUUCGGCGACGACCUUCUCGAUUGGGAAACGGAUCUCUGGUGAGCUCUGCGUCGAGUAGCUCCACCUGAACCUGGAUUAGGAGGUCUGUUUCGUUCUUUAGCGAAGGGGUUGCUCCUUUUCCGACUUUGAAAGGAUUAUUUACACUUUCGUGAAGAGAUGGUAGUAACUGAGUGACAUAAAAAUGCCUCAUUCCUUCUUAAGGCUGUAUGCAUUAACCUAAUAACUAAUCAAUUGAGUGUAUUUAGGUUUACUGAAUUUUUUGCAAGUAAAAAGUAAGUGAAAAAGAACGAACUGUGGAGAGAUUAAAUCAAUUAUUAAUCCAUUUUAAGAUUAUCCAGGCGGAAGUACUCAAUCGGCAUUGCUGUCCAGGAUCAACAGCUUAUUUGAGAAUUUAGGUAUUAACCUUGGAGUUUCUUCUCGUCUUUACCGAUAUCAGAUAAUUCAAAAUAUCCAGCCAGUUCGGCGUUUGACUUCUCAAUGGUUCCCAGCUGAAAAUGGAUUGUUAAACGAAGAGUAAUUUUAUAAGAUUUCUUUAUAAGCGAAGUGUGUAGAAGCCCACAAGGAAGGACACAAGAAAAUGUUUUAAAAAUCACUUUGAUUAUAAAGUUCGUGAGAAAAAAAGGUUUUGAGGUGAAAGAAGCAAACUCGCUUCGUUCUCACGUCCCUCACACGGUAAAAAACCAUUCGUUGCCGUAAGUUAGGACAAUAGUGACCCAACGACCCCAGUUCCUUGAAGGUGGCAGUCACGACAUUAGGUGAAUAAUUGUGAGUUGAAGAUAAGUCGUUUGGAGGUGCAACACAGUUGGAGUAAAACAUUGGAUUGGGUACAGAAGAUGAACAGAAAGGAUGGAGGAGAGUAUUUGCAGUUGUUCCAGUAAUAGGAGGAAUAGUAUUGUUGCUUUGACUGCUGUUCCGG
Daphnia pulicaria is the source of this 1846-nucleotide long non-coding RNA. RefSeq lists it as uncharacterized. Lineage: Eukaryota; Metazoa; Arthropoda; Branchiopoda; Diplostraca; Daphniidae. The transcript is spliced from 7 exons. The record is from RefSeq and is a predicted model, not a curated record.